RNAcentral lists this long non-coding RNA (2464 nucleotides) under Homo sapiens (human). Its description in RNAcentral is "HSALNT0263691". Lineage: Eukaryota; Metazoa; Chordata; Mammalia; Primates; Hominidae. The record is from RNAcentral.
CGGAAGUGUUCCACAUCUUGAUCUGGGUGGCGGUUGCAUGGGCAUACACGUUGGUAAAAAUGCAUCAAGUUAUACAUGGAAGAAAGUUUCAAGAGUCUGAGAAUGCCUCCCUCCAUUCUCCCAUUCCAAAACAUGGUCAUAUUGGCCCAGCUAAUUUCCUCCUUGCAGCAGAGAUGACACAUCUGAGAGCAGAUAAAGGGAGGAGGGGCCCUCUUAGGCCCCACUGGCUGCCUGGUGAUAAGCAGUGACCUCAAAUUAAUAUAGGAUGUCACUGUUUACCAGCUCCAUUGCCUGUAUCCCCUUAUCCUCUCUGCAUCUGCAACCACGAAAGAGGGGUUGGGAUUGUUCCACAGCAGAGGAAAUGGAGGUUCUCGGAAGGACCUCGGGGAGGCCAUGCAAGGCUACUCGGCUUGGAGAGGACAUGACCUCGUGGGGAAGGGAGCAACCCGGGGAGGAAGCCGAGGGGGAGCCUUUGGACACACAGGCAGGGACAGGCGCCAGAGGGGGCACCUCCUGCAGUGUGCUGCCUCCACAUCAAUAAUUGCAUAAUGUGGAUACCAUUUAUGAUUGACAGUUCCAAAAACCAAACUCACUCACUACAGAUGAGCAAGGAAGAGCAAGAGCCAUUCAGAAGUGAGGAGGUAUGACGUACAAGGAACACAGGAUAUGUUUCAUGCUGUGAUGAAGUUUCACAAUAGACUUGGCAUAGAUUGAAACCCAAAGGGCUCUAUCAGAAGUGGCAAAUGUGGCACGCUCAGGCCAACACCCAUGCCAAUGAUUCCUAUAAAAUUCCCAUUGCCUGGUAGAAGUUCACAGGAGAGGAAAGUUCUUUCCUGCACCAGGUUCUAUGGAGAAUUGGUUGCAUGGUUUCUCGUGCUGUGGGCAUCAGGGACUUCAGGUGAAGGUAUUUAGCUGUGGCUUUGUGCAAACCUCAGAACUGUGUCCUCCAAGGGCCUGGGGUAUUUGGCAGGCGCUGUCUCUUGCUGCCUUUGCUGCUGUAUGACAGACAAAAUAGAAGCCACCUGGAGGCAACUUCCUCACCCAUCGACAAGCUCACCAGCCUUCAUGCCUGUCCUUUGGAGCUUCCCUGCAGACAGUGGCAGGAAACAACUUUUGGCUUCAUGAUCCUCUCUUUUGCCCCUCUGCUGCUGGCUCUGAGAAACUGGAUUUGCACCUGGGGGCCUGGAUAAGUCAUGAUCAUCUUCCUGUUCCUGUUAGACACAGACACUCUUUGGAGAUUUGAAGAUACCAGAAAAUGUCAUAACCUGGGGGAAUGACAGUGUGUGUGGGGUUUCCAGCACUAGGGCAGGCACGGUAGGAGAGGAAAUUGGGGAGUAGAGGGUCUGUUCUAAAUCCAUGACCUUCAGGAUGAUGAUGUUUUGAAGAGUCUGCUCUGAAAACUGAUUGUCGGUGCCCAGACACCAGGGACUCCGAGGAUUUCCUUCUCGUCAAAGGCUGGCCAGAACUGUCAGAAAGGAAUCAUCAGACAACUUCCAGGGGCUCCUGUAAAGCUCUUUAUGACAGGUUCAAUUGUGGCCUUCCUUCCCCAGGUGUCCAGCAACGACUCUUUCAACUGCAUCCUGACCUGGCUCUCUCCUGUCCUCCUAGCUCCUCAGUCAGUUACUUCCUUCCUGGCCCUGGGCUUCCCCAGGUCCUCAUGCUGUGCCUGUCCCACCCGCAGAGCCUUCCCACUAAAAAUCCCAAGAUAGGGAUUUUCCUCCCUGAUCAGGAGUGGGUUGGAGGGAGAUGCCAGAGUUCUUGGCACAAAGGAAAUUGGGGUUAUCCAUGGAUGUAUAUAGCAAAUGCUGUAUGAGGAGUGUAGAUUUUGCAGAUGGACUUGCUUUAAAACCAUCUUUAAGAUUAUUUGAGAGGCUAAAAUAAAAGACAGUGAAAAUACUAGUGUUAGCAAAGGUGUGGAGCAACCAGACCUCUCAUAUGUAGCUCAUAGGAGCAUACAGCUACGUUGGAAAACUACACAGGAAAACUGGCAGUGUCUACAAAAACUACACAGACCCCUACCUCAUGAUGCAGCAACUCCACUCCUGGGAGUACAUGCCCAGGACAUGAAUAUGUAUGUUCAAUAAAAACAUGUUCUAGAGAUGUUGAUAGCAGCAAUAUAUGCAAUAGUCCCAAACUGUAAAUGAUUGAAUGCAUAUUGAUAAGAGAACAAAUAAAUAACUUGUUGUAGGGUCAUACAGUGGAAUACAAUUCAGUAGUAAGAAAAGAACAAACUAGUAUUAUCAUGUUAUGGGCUGAAUCGUGUCCCUCUUCCAAAUUCAUACGUUAAAGCCCUAACUGCUAGUAUGUCAGAAUACAACUGUAUUUGGAGAUAGGGUCUUUAAAUAUGUAAUUAAAUUACAUGAGGUCAUUAGGGCAGGCACUAAUCCAGUAUGACUGGUAUCCUGCUAAGAAGAAGUGCUUAGGGCACAGACACACAAAGGGAAGACCAUGUGAAGAUACAGGG